GCCGGGGUGGCGGAAUUGGUAGACGCGCAGUCUUGAGGAGGCUGUUCCCUUUGGGAGUGGAGGUUCAAGUCCUCUCCCCGGCA
Molecule: transfer RNA, 83 nt
Filed under: Patescibacteria group bacterium
Lineage: Bacteria
Description: tRNA-Leu
Rfam family: tRNA
About the family: Transfer RNA (tRNA) molecules are approximately 80 nucleotides in length. Their secondary structure includes four short double-helical elements and three loops (D, anti-codon, and T loops).
Source: RNAcentral